RNAcentral lists this ribosomal RNA (872 nucleotides) under Calonectria lateralis. RNAcentral describes it as "eukaryotic LSU rRNA". It matches the Rfam family "Eukaryotic large subunit ribosomal RNA", at positions 74 to 978 of the family's 3401-position model. The record is from RNAcentral. RNAcentral also lists the same sequence under 6 other names. Lineage: Eukaryota; Fungi; Ascomycota; Sordariomycetes; Hypocreales; Nectriaceae.
AUUGCCCUAGUAACGGCGAGUGAAGCGGCAACAGCUCAAAUUUGAAAUCUGGCCCUCGGGUCCGAGUUGUAAUUUGUAGAGGAUGCUUUUGGUGAGGUGCCUUCCGAGUUCCCUGGAACGGGACGCCAUAGAGGGUGAGAGCCCCGUCUGGUUGGACACCGAGCCUCUGUAAAGCUCCUUCGACGAGUCGAGUAGUUUGGGAAUGCUGCUCUAAAUGGGAGGUAUAUGUCUUCUAAAGCUAAAUACCGGCCAGAGACCGAUAGCGCACAAGUAGAGUGAUCGAAAGAUGAAAAGCACUUUGAAAAGAGAGUUAAAAAGUACGUGAAAUUGUUGAAAGGGAAGCGCUUAUGACCAGACUUGGGCUUGGUUGAUCAUCCUGGGUUCUCCCUGGUGCACUCUUCCAGUUCAGGCCAGCAUCAGUUCGCUGCGGGGGAUAAAAGCUUUAGGAAUGUGGCUCCCUCGGGAGUGUUAUAGCCUAUUGCAUAAUACCCUGCUCCGGACUGAGGUUCGCGCAUCUGCAAGGAUGCUGGCGUAAUGGUCAUCAGCGACCCGUCUUGAAACACGGACCAAGGAGUCGUCUUCGUAUGCGAGUGUUCGGGUGUUAAACCCCUACGCGUAAUGAAAGUGAACGCAGGUGAGAGCUUCGGCGCAUCAUCGACCGAUCCUGAUGUUCUCGGAUGGAUUUGAGUAAGAGCAUACGGGGCCGGACCCGAAAGAAGGUGAACUAUGCCUGUAUAGGGUGAAGCCAGAGGAAACUCUGGUGGAGGCUCGCAGCGGUUCUGACGUGCAAAUCGAUCGUCAAAUAUGGGCAUGGGGGCGAAAGACUAAUCGAACCUUCUAGUAGCUGGUUUCCGCCGAAGUUUCCCUCAGGA